Long non-coding RNA from Crotalus tigris (Tiger rattlesnake), 274 nucleotides. RefSeq lists it as uncharacterized. The transcript has 3 exons. The record is from RefSeq and is a predicted model, not a curated record. NCBI's taxonomy places the organism in Eukaryota, Metazoa, Chordata, Lepidosauria, Squamata, Viperidae.
AACAAACAAGAUUGCAAAAGACGGUGCCUGUUUCCAUUUCAAUCAGUUUUGCUAUAUUAUAUCCCAUGCUGAUUUUUUGUUACUGGCUGCGAGAUGUGCAUAAAUGGAGAGCUGGUUGGGAAGCACACAAGUGGCACUCACGUAACUGCAGGACACUGUGAUGGUUGUAAAUGUGCGAUGCUCCCAAAUGGCAACCACGUGUCAGCAGGAUGCUGCAAUGAUCACAAAUGAUCUUCCCAGGUAUUGAUGUUAAACUGAUUGAUCUGUAGUUUCC